CAGGUACUGACUCCAUUCUAUCCCCUCAUUUUCACUGGCAUACACAAGGCUGUGCACAGACUGUCUGUGAUACACUGCUGCCUGUGAUGUUAGGAGUUGGCACUCUGCACUGCACUGUGAUGUCUCAAGAAGUUUCACAUCAGUGCCUGUCAUCAUGCAAAUUUAUUCUCAAUGGGAUUACUCGGAACUAUGCUGGUACUUGUUCCUGCUUGUGUAUCCAAGCUUGUCCCUCCCUGGGCUUUGCCAGCUUAGUUUCCCGGGAAAGAAGGAGCUGGAGACAUUGCAACAGACCCUGGACAAGGGAAAAAUGUUCUAAAGUUGGCCCUUGAAAAGUAAGGAUGAUAAAGAAAGCAAGACAACCAGUGAGGGAAGGGAGCAACCUGCGGAGGAAAAAGGUGGGGGAAGUAUUUUUCCAAAGUAAAAUGUAUAGAGCUUAGGCUGAAAUUUUCAAAAAUUAAAGCCCUGAUCAAAAAGUUU
This 477-nucleotide long non-coding RNA is filed under the name Junco hyemalis (dark-eyed junco). Its description in RNAcentral is "lncRNA (ENSJHYG00000014095.1)". The record is from RNAcentral. Lineage: Eukaryota; Metazoa; Chordata; Aves; Passeriformes; Passerellidae.